UUAAUUUGACUCUUGUUUUCUCAUUUCUUUGUGCAGGGAGAAGGUUAAUUAGUACUCCUAGUAAUAAAGGAUAUGAAUAUAAUCAUGGGUUACAUAGCUUACAUCAGGAAAAAUUUGCAGAGUUGAGCAAGAGCAUUGAUGAAGGAGAAGCCAAGAAUGGGUCAGGUAAUGUGAAGAGAGAAUUAUCUAGAGUGAGAAAGGAAGCCCACCAUUGGCUACCAAGAAUCCAUGAAGAUUACUAUGGUCCAAGAAUGCACAGACCUAAGCACCACUGACUUCUUACACCAAAACAUUUUGAUUAAAAAAAAGCCAAUAAAUAUUUGUAGCCAUUGUACUUUCACAGUUAAUUGAUUUAUUUGAUGACUCAAAAAUUCUUACUUAUAAGAAUGGGUGAGGAAAUUGUUUUA
Long non-coding RNA from Salvia splendens (bonfire salvia), 407 nucleotides. RefSeq lists it as uncharacterized. The transcript is spliced from 2 exons. NCBI's taxonomy places the organism in Eukaryota, Viridiplantae, Streptophyta, Magnoliopsida, Lamiales, Lamiaceae. The record is from RefSeq and is a predicted model, not a curated record.